Molecule: ribosomal RNA, 507 nt
Filed under: uncultured bacterium
Lineage: Bacteria
Description: bacterial SSU rRNA
Rfam family: Bacterial small subunit ribosomal RNA
Source: RNAcentral
GUUUGAUCAUGGCUCAGAACGAACGCUGGCGGCGUGCCUAACACAUGCAAGUCGAACGAGAAAGGGGCUUCGGCUCCGAGUAAAGUGGCGCACGGGUGAGUAACACGUAGGUAACCUGCCUCUAAGAUUGGGAUAACUUGUCGAAAGACGAGCUAAUACCAAAUAAGACCACGGUUUCCUCGGGGACAGGGGUCAAAGGUAGCCUCUAUUUAUAAGCUAUCGCUGAGAGAUGGGCCUGCGUACCAUUAGCUAAUUGGUGAGGUAACGGCUCACCAAGGCAAAGAUGGUUAGCUGGUCUGAGAGGAUGAUCAGCCACACUGGAACUGAGACACGGUCCAGACUCCUACGGGAGGCAGCAGUGGGGAAUAUUGCGCAAUGGGCGAAAGCCUGACGCAGCAACGCCGCGUUAGUUAUGAAGGCCUUCGGGUCCUAAAGCUCUGUCNGAGGGAACGAAUGCUCCAGAGGUUAACAGCCUCCGGAGGUUACGGUACCCUCAAAGGAAGCACC